This 1051-nucleotide long non-coding RNA is filed under the name Astyanax mexicanus (Mexican tetra). RNAcentral's name for it is "lncRNA (ENSAMXG00005011874.1)". The record is from RNAcentral. Lineage: Eukaryota; Metazoa; Chordata; Actinopteri; Characiformes; Acestrorhamphidae.
CUGCACUCUGAGAAUUAGAAAUGUGACGAAGAAUGACUCUGGAGAAUAUUGGUAUCGAUUUCUUAAUAAUGAAGGAAGGGGUUUCUCUGGUACUCCUGGAGUUAUUCUAAAUGUAACAGAUCUUCAGGUGAAAAUGAGUCCCAGCUCUCCAUCAGAAGGACAGACAGUAACACUGACCUGUAGCUCCACCUGCACUCUGCCCAACAACCCCACCUACAUCUGGUACAAGAACGGACAGCCUGUAACCAACAAACCCACCAGAUACAACAAGCUCUACCUGGAGUCAACAAGCCCUGAGCACGUUCUCCAGUAUUCCUGUGCUCUAGGAGAUUUUCCAGAUGAAAAAAGCCCAGAACACAUCACAGUGUUAAUCAUCACAGUGGGCAUGGUCAUCUUUCUGGCUGUAAUCCUGAUCACAGGACUGGUGUGGAGGUGUUGGGUGAUCAGGAGGAAGAGAGGAGCAGAGAGAGAAGCAGAUGUUCAGACUGGAACCCCUGUAGACGACACUUACACAGCUCUAAACCCCACCAGCAUGUCCUCUGAUUACGACACUCUGACUGUUAGAAAAGUCUCUUCCAGUGGUCUGUACUCCUCCCUGAACCCUGCAACCAUGUCCUCUGAUUACGAGACUCUGACUGUUAGAGACUCCUCCAGUGGUCUGUACUCCUCUCUGAAUCCUGCAACCAUGUCCUCUGAUUACGAGACUCUGACUAAUGCUACUGGAAGACCUAAGAACAGAAAGCCUUGAAUCCUGUAUUGUGAUCUCUGAGGGCCUCUUACCAAAGAACCUUCAGCCCCCUGAAUCCCAAACCUCAUUCCCACCAUCAUUUCCAGAAUAACAAGUAGAGGAAGUUUCAUUUCACCUCCUCAGGUUCCAACUUUGCAGGACAUGAUGAUAUAUAAUAUAAUGUUAUAUAAUAUUAGGUUCUAUACAUUAAAAUAUUUAUGCUUUACUCUUCCAAGCCACCCUCCAGGUCAAGGUGUAGAAAAGAUGCCAGAUAAAGGUCAUACAGGAAAUAAAGGGAUGAGCCAGAAAAAGAUAAGGAAUUGU